CCAUACAUGGAUUCAAUUUGAAGUCUCCAGCCAACAGACUCUAUUGACUGAAGACUUGGGGGACUACAGUAUGUACCAUAUAUUGGGCCUCAACUGGGCCUCAUGAAAAAUACUUGGGGGACUCUAGCCCAUUAUUUAUAUAUUGAGGAGUGAGCCCUUGUUUUAUAAAAGGGACUCCCUCACCAUUAUUAGAGACCAUUAACUCUA
RNAcentral lists this long non-coding RNA (207 nucleotides) under Malus domestica (apple). Its description in RNAcentral is "long non-coding RNA (MDOM_LNC009279)". Lineage: Eukaryota; Viridiplantae; Streptophyta; Magnoliopsida; Rosales; Rosaceae. The record is from RNAcentral.